Long non-coding RNA from Oncorhynchus keta (chum salmon), 5099 nucleotides. RefSeq lists it as uncharacterized. The record is from RefSeq and is a predicted model, not a curated record. The transcript has 5 exons. Lineage: Eukaryota; Metazoa; Chordata; Actinopteri; Salmoniformes; Salmonidae.
UAUUAACUCAAUGACAUUUUUAUUUGUUUUUACAUUGUUUGCAAACUGAUAUUUGACACAUAUUAAUGCCAAAAUAAUAAGCAAAACAGGUAAGCCCCCCAACACUUUUCUUUUACCUAAAAGUGUUGGCCCAAAACAGGUGGGGCUCUGCCCUGAAUAAUGGGUCAUCACUGGGUAGCAUCCACAUGAAUGAUUCUUAUUUACAAUAAAAGUGACUCCAACAUGACACAAAACAUAAUUUCCCAUUCAUUUCUACUGAACACAAAAUAAUCUAAAAUGAAAGCUGACAGUCUACACUUUAACCUCAUAGUAAUUGUAUCAUUUCAAAGUGCUGGAAUACAGAGCCAAAACAAAAGAAUUGUCACUGUCCCAAUACUUCUGGAGCUCGCUGUAUUACAUAGUACUAUAACCUACUCUUUGAAAACCACUUGCAAUGAACAAAUGAAUGCUCCAAUUCCUGGAUGGAGUGAGUGUACGUUAUGUUCCCAAAGCAAAUAAAUAACAUGAGUGGAGCCUAAAUAUACCUCCCUUCAAAACCAAUCUAAUGGGCUACUGUGGAGCAAGCUGAUUAACAUUAAGUAGUCAGUAGAUCUUUAUUGCCAAGGCUGGUCCUUCUGGGUCAUAUCCUGCUGUUAACCAAUGGCUAUUAGAUUACAUUAUACCAGGACUCAAUUACCUAAUGUUUUAGAAUCAGAAGAGCAGAAGACAGACUAUGUCAUUGUAGGUUAAUGUCUGAAUUAGAAAAUGGUGGUUUAAAUGCAGGCUUCAUUUUGGCUAAGGGAAAUAUCUAGCAUAACCACUUGGCACCUGGACAUUCUCUUGAAGAAAGAAAUUAUACAUCACAAAUGUGUUAUUACAUAUGGUAAUUUGAUCAAUUGAACCUUUGUCAUUAGAAAUGUCCAUUCCAUUGAUUAACAAAUCAAUCUGUGACUCAUUAUGUACCACGACCACCACCAAAAGUGAUCUUUUUCCUUUGCUUUUUCAUGAGCAUCCUUUCAUCAAACCUGCUGAUAGCAAUUUGUGAUGAAAGGUUUGCAGACCCAAUAGUGCUUAGAUACACUGACUCCUGCUACCUGUACACUGAGAAGACCUUGUGAGGUAAUUGAGUUGAUAAUUACCAAUCAGGCUUGUACAUUCCCGUUAAAUAACUCUGACAGUCUAGCACAACACUACCACGAUUAAAGCAAAGCAUGCUAUGAUGAAUCAUUUAUGACAGAGUCUCUCUUUGGUCCUUUCAUCCAGUAAAGUCAUGGUGGACUGUUUCCAGUAAAGCUCAGAGAGGGAACACGGUGGUCAAGGUGGACUGUUUCCAGUAAAGCUCAGAGAGGGAACACGGUGGUCACGGUGGACUGUUUCCAGUAAAGCUCAGAGAGGGAACACGGUGGUAACGGUGGACUGUUUCCAGUAAGGCUCAGAGAGGGAACACGGUGGUCAAGGUGGACUGUUUCCAGUAAAGCUCAGAGAGGGAACACGGUGGUCACGGUGGACUGUUUCCAGUAAAGCUCAGAGAGGGAACACGGUGGUCACGGUGGACUGUUUCCAGUAAAGCUCAGAGAGGGAACACGGUGGUCAUGGUGGACUGUUUCCAGUAAAGCUCAGAGAGGGAACACGGUGGUCACGGUGGACUGUUUCCAGUAAAGCUCAGAGAGGGAACACGGUGGUCACGGUGGACUGUUUCCAGUAAAGCUCAGAGAGGGAACACGGUGGUCACGGUGGACUGUUUCCAGUAAAGCUCAGAGAGGGAACACGGUGGUCACGGUGGACUGUUUCCAGUAAAGCUCAGAGAGGGAACACGGUGGUCACGGUGGACUGUUUCCAGUAAAGCUCAGAGAGGGAACACGGUGGUCACGGUGGACUGUUUCCAGUAAGGCUCAGAGAGGGAACACGGUGGUCAGGGUGGACUGUUUCCAGUAAGGCUCAGAGAGGGAACACGGUGGUCACGGUGGACUGUUUCCAGUAAAGCUCAGAGAGGGAACACGGUGGUCACGGUGGACUGUUUCCAGUAAAGCUCAGAGAGGGAACACGGUGGUCACGGUGGACUGUUUCCAGUAAAGCUCAGAGAGGGAACACGGUGGUCACGGUGGACUGUUUCCAGUAAAGCUCAGAGAGGGAACACGGUGGUCACGGUGGACUGUUUCCAGUAAGGCUCAGAGAGGGAACACGGUGGUCACGGUGGACUGUUUCCAGUAAAGCUCAGAGAGGGAACACGGUGGUCACGGCGGACUGUUUCCAGUAAAGCUCAGAGAGGGAACACGCUGGUCACGGUGGACUGUUUCCAGUAAGGCUCAGAGAGGGAACACGGUGGUCACGGUGGACUGUUUCCAGUAAGGCUCAGAGAGGGAACACGGUGGUCACGGUGGACUGUUUCCAGUAAAGCUCAGAGAGGGAACACGGUGGUCACGGCGGACUGUUUCCAGUAAAGCUCAGAGAGGGAACACGGUGGUCACGUGGACUGUUUCCAGUAAGGCUCAGAGAGGGAACACGGUGGUCAUGGUGGACUGUUUCCAGUAAAGCUCAGAGAGGGAACACGGUGGUCACGGUGGACUGUUUCCAGUAAAGCUCAGAGAGGGAACACGGUGGUCACGGUGGACUGUUUCCAGUAAAGCUCACAGAGGGAACACGGUGGUCACGGUGGACUGUUUCCAGUAAAGCUCAGAGAGGGAACACGGUGGUCACGGUGGACUGUUUCCAGUAAAGCUCAGAGAGGGAACACAGUGGUCACGGUGGACUGUUUCCAGUAAAGCUCAGAGAGGGAACACGGUGGUCACGGUGGACUGUUUCCAGUAAAGCUCACAGAGGGAACACGGUGGUCACGGUGGACUGUUUCCAGUAAGGCUCAGAGAGGGAACACGGUGGUCAUGGUGGACUGUUUCCAGUAAGGCUCAGAGAGGGAACACGGUGGUCACGGUGGACUGUUUCCAGUAAAGCUCAGAGAGGGAACACGGUGGUCACGGCGGACUGUUUCCAGUAAAGCUCAGAGAGGGAACACGCUGGUCACGGUGGACUGUUUCCAGUAAAGCUCAGAGAGGGAACACGGUGGUCAUGGUGGACUGUUUCCAGUAAGGCUCAGAGAGGGAACACGGUGGUCACGGUGGACUGUUUCCAGUAAAGCUCAGAGAGGGAACACGGUGGUCACGGCGGACUGUUUCCAGUAAGGCUCAGAGAGGGAACACGGUGGUCACGGUGGACUGUUUCCAGUAAAGCUCAGAGAGGGAACACGGUGGUCACGGUGGACUGUUUCCAGUAAAGCUCAGAGAGGGAACACGGUGGUCACGGCGGACUGUUUCCAGUAAAGCUCAGAGAGGGAACACGGUGGUCACGUGGACUGUUUCCAGUAAGGCUCAGAGAGGGAACACGGUGGUCAUGGUGGACUGUUUCCAGUAAAGCUCAGAGAGGGAACACGGUGGUCACGGUGGACUGUUUCCAGUAAAGCUCAGAGAGGGAACACAGUGGUCACGGUGGACUGUUUCCAGUAAAGCUCAGAGAGGGAACACGGUGGUCAUGGUGGACUGUUUCCAGUAAAGCUCAGAGAGGGAACACGGUGGUCACGGUGGACUGUUUCCAGUAAAGCUCAGAGAGGGAACACGGUGGUCACGGUGGACUGUUUCCAGUAAAGCUCACAGAGGGAACACGGUGGUCACGGUGGACUGUUUCCAGUAAAGCUCAGAGAGGGAACACAGUGGUCACGGUGGACUGUUUCCAGUAAAGCUCAGAGAGGGAACACGGUGGUCACGGCGGACUGUUUCCAGUAAGGCUCAGAGAGGGAACACGGUGGUCACGUGGACUGUUUCCAGUAAGGCUCAGAGAGGGAACACGGUGGUCACGGCGGACUGUUUCCAGUAAAGCUCAGAGAGGGAACACGGUGGUCACGGUGGACUGUUUCCAGUAAAGCUCAGAGAGGGAACACGGUGGUCACGGUGGACUGUUUCCAGUAAAGCUCAGAGAGGGAACACGGUGGUCACGGUGGACUGUUUCCAGUAAGGCUCAGAGAGGGAACACGGUGGUCAUGGUGGACUGUUUCCAGUAAAGCUCAGAGAGGGAACACGGUGGUCACGGUGGACUGUUUCCAGUAAAGCUCAGAGAGGGAACACGGUGGUCACGGUGGACUGUUUCCAGUAAAGCUCACAGAGGGAACACGGUGGUCACGGUGGACUGUUUCCAGUAAAGCUCAGAGAGGGAACACGGUGGUCAUGGUGGACUGUUUCCAGUAAAGCUCAGAGAGGGAACACGGUGGUCACGGUGGACUGUUUCCAGUAAAGCUCACAGAGGGAACACAGUGGUCACGGCGGACUGUUUCCAGUAAAGCUCAGAGAGGGAACACGGUGGUCACGGUGGACUGUUUCCAGUAAAGCUCACAGAGGGAACACGGUGGUCACGGUGGAGAGAGAGUGAGAGUGAGAGUGAGAGUGAGAGUGAGAGAGAGAGAAAAUACUAAUAAUAAUAUGAGAACUGAGGACAGGGAGAAAAGUGAGAGAAAGAGCACUGUCCUCCUCCAAACAUUUUAGAGGUGUGACUCUUAAGAGUAGGACAUGAAUAUCCCAAAUGUGGGUGUGCCACUUAGCACUUAGUGAGUCUGACAGAUAGGGAAUUGUGUACUACGGUGGUACUAAGUACUGUAUAACUUACACAAUGUUCCACAGACCUACUUUUUGAAUAGACGGAUAACACUUCCCCCCAUAGGCGUUCAAGUGUAUUGCAGAAUUCAGUAUCUCUUUACAAAUCUGUUAAAAGAGGCAUGCAAAAGCUGUUUGACACAUAAUAACAACCAUGGUUUACAUACAUCUACACACACAAAGUAGCCUACCACAGCAAACAUAUGAUAUUCCAUUGCACCAAAAUGCGCAUCAUUAGCACACCUUGGAAAGCCCAUACCUGCGCGUCAGAUUUGCGCAUAGCAUCAAGUUACUACGCUACUCCCUGCUCGGACAACAAAGACCUCUCCGUCCCCUCCUAGUUCUCUGCUGAGGCCUGUGUAUCUCUGACAGACUCAGACCCGCUGUGUGGUGUCUGACUGGUGCCAACUUCUGCGGGUGAGGCGGGAGGGGGGGCCUGCCCUAAUCUUGCUGACAUCACGCAUUCCUUGGAAGAGAUGUAGCCUA